GUGCCAGCAGCUGCGGUAAUACGGAGGGUGCAAGCGUUAAUCGGAAUUACUGGGCGUAAAGCGCACGCAGGCGGUCUGUCAAGUCGGAUGUGAAAUCCCCGGGCUCAACCUGGGAACUGCAUUCGAAACUGGCAGGCUAGAGUCUUGUAGAGGGGGUAGAAUUCCAGGUGUAGCGGUGAAAUGCGUAGAGAUCUGGAGGAAUACCGGUGGCGAAGGCGGCCCCCUGGACAAAGACUGACGCUCAGGUGCGAAAGCGUGGGAGCAAACAGGAUUAGGAUACCCGUGGUAAGUCCACGCCGUAACGAUGUCGAUUUGGAGUUGUGCCCUUGAGCGUGGC
RNAcentral lists this ribosomal RNA (337 nucleotides) under uncultured Klebsiella sp. RNAcentral describes it as "bacterial SSU rRNA". It matches the Rfam family "Bacterial small subunit ribosomal RNA", at positions 505 to 844 of the family's 1533-position model. Lineage: Bacteria; Pseudomonadati; Pseudomonadota; Gammaproteobacteria; Enterobacterales; Enterobacteriaceae. The record is from RNAcentral.